RNAcentral lists this ribosomal RNA (583 nucleotides) under Aureobasidium sp. FTJZZJ08. RNAcentral describes it as "eukaryotic LSU rRNA". The stretch from base 238 to 391 matches the Rfam family "5.8S ribosomal RNA". Lineage: Eukaryota; Fungi; Ascomycota; Dothideomycetes; Dothideales; Saccotheciaceae. The record is from RNAcentral.
GGAAGUAAAUAAAAGCGUAACAAGGUUUCCGUAGGUGAACCUGCGGAAGGAUCAUUAAAGAGUAAGGGUGCUCAGCGCCCGACCUCCAACCCUUUGUUGUUAAAACUACCUUGUUGCUUUGGCGGGACCGCUCGGUCUCGAGCCGCUGGGGAUUCGUCCCAGGCGAGCGCCCGCCAGAGUUAAACCAAACUCUUGUUAUUUAACCGGUCGUCUGAGUAAAAAUUUUGAAUAAAUCAAAACUUUCAACAACGGAUCUCUUGGUUCUCGCAUCGAUGAAGAACGCAGCGAAAUGCGAUAAGUAAUGUGAAUUGCAGAAUUCAGUGAAUCAUCGAAUCUUUGAACGCACAUUGCGCCCCUUGGUAUUCCGAGGGGCAUGCCUGUUCGAGCGUCAUUACACCACUCAAGCUAUGCUUGGUAUUGGGCGUCGUCCUUAGUUGGGCGCGCCUUAAAGACCUCGGCGAGGCCACUCCGGCUUUAGGCGUAGUAGAAUUUAUUCGAACGUCUGUCAAAGGAGAGGAACUCUGCCGACUGAAACCUUUAUUUUCUAGGUUGACCUCGGAUCAGGUAGGGAUCCCCAAUUCCC